This 511-nucleotide ribosomal RNA is filed under the name Anotogaster sieboldii. RNAcentral's name for it is "partial 16S rRNA". It matches the Rfam family "Bacterial large subunit ribosomal RNA", at positions 1819 to 2597 of the family's 2925-position model. The record is from RNAcentral. Lineage: Eukaryota; Metazoa; Arthropoda; Insecta; Odonata; Cordulegastridae.
GUCUUCUUGGUAGAAUAAGAAGUCUGACCUGCCCAGUGAAAUAUUUUAACGGCCGCGGUAUAUUGACCGUGCAAAGGUAGCAUAAUCAUUAGUCUUUUAAUAGAGGGCUGGAAUGAAGGGUUUAACGAAGUACUUACUGUCUCAUUUAAUUUGAUGUUAAAAUUUACUUUUUCAGUCAAAAAGCUGAAAUAUUAUUGGAAGACGAGAAGACCCUAUAGAGCUUUAUAUUUAAUUAUUUAAUAAAUUUUUGUAUUAAUUAUUAUUUAUUAUUUAAUAAAAUAUUUUGUUGGGGUGACAAAAAUAUAUAAUUAACUUUUUUAUUUAUAUAACAUUGAUAUAUGGAAAAUAGAUCCAGUUUUACUGAUUAUUAGAAUAAGUUACCUUAGGGAUAACAGCGUAAUCUUCCUUUAGAGUUCAUAUUCACAGGGAGGCUUGCGACCUCGAUGUUGGAUUAAGAUUAUUAUUAGGUGUAGCCGCUUAAAAAAUAGGUCUGUUCGACCUUUAAAUUCUU